Molecule: long non-coding RNA, 697 nt
Filed under: Homo sapiens (human)
Lineage: Eukaryota; Metazoa; Chordata; Mammalia; Primates; Hominidae
Description: HSALNT0326670
Source: RNAcentral
CGUGGCUUCAUUCUUGAAGUCAGUGAGACCAAGAACCCACCAAUUUCGGACACACUAGGCUCUGACAAGCAACUCUGCAAAGCAGAAGUGAUGCUUGAAACCACAGCAGCCAUUUUGGGGCCACGAGGCAAUAAGCACAAGGAUAAAAAGCCAAGAACCAAAGAUGGAGAAUCAAGGGUGUAAUGAACCUAGAUGAUAUGAUAUGACAGAGUCCUGAACUGCUAGACUUCUUACUAGGAGUCCCAGUGUCUCCUGAGGAAAUCCCUUUCCCAUUCAGCCGGCAGCUGCAGCAGGUGGGAUGGGCCAGACCAGCCCUCUGGGGAUGCUGAUCCCAGGGAGCAUCCAGGCCGGAAGGUCCAAACGGGCAAGUGACUCAUUUGCUUUUCCUCCCUUGGUCAUGUCUAUGACUCAUACACUUUCAUUCAGUCCCAAGUAUGAGAAAGGAACAUCAAAAAGUCCAAGAUGUUAUCAAAUAUUUGAUGAAAAAGAAAAUUCCCCUCUCAUAUGACCCUUACAGAAAAUGUUUAUUUAGUCUUUUCAUUUUGUUGACAUUUCUUUGAUUUAUCAACAUUGAGAAGGUACAGUGAGGAGAAGGAAGGCUGUUAAGUGAGACAAAGGAGGGUUAGGAUGGCUCAGUCAUUGCUCCCCCGAGGGAGUGAUCUAAGCUGCUCACCCACAGACAGAAAGGGUAAAUGGG